CAACUAUUCCCUCUGUCCGGAAAACUUGUCCUUCAAAUGGAUGUAUCUAGUACCAAGUUAGUGCUAGAUGCAUCUAUUUAAAAACAAGUUUGGGAUAAGCUUUUUCGGAUGAAGGGAGUACUUA
This is a non-coding RNA of Triticum aestivum (bread wheat), 124 nucleotides long. NCBI's taxonomy places the organism in Eukaryota, Viridiplantae, Streptophyta, Magnoliopsida, Poales, Poaceae. The record is from Rfam.